GGAAUAUUGCACAAUGGGGGGAACCCUGAUGCAGCCAUGCCGCGUGAAUGAAGAAGGCCUUCGGGUUGUAAAGUUCUUUCGGUGACGAGGAAGGUUGGUAUGUUAAUAGCAUAUCACAUUGACGUUAAUCACAGAAGAAGCACCGGCUAACUCCGUGCCAGCAGCAGCGGUAAUACGGGGGGUGCGAGCGUUAAUCGGAAUAGCUGGGCGUAAAGGGCACGCAGGCGGUGACUUAAGUGAGAUGUGAAAGCCCCGGGCUUAACCUGGGAAUUGCAUUUCAUACUGGGUCGCUAGAGUACUUUAGGGAGGGGUAGAAUUCCACGUGUAGCGGUGAAAUGCGUAGAGAUGUGGAGGAAUACCGAAGGCGAAGGCAGCCCCUUGGGAAUGUACUGACGCUCAUGUGCGAAAGCGUGGGUAGCAAAC
RNAcentral lists this ribosomal RNA (423 nucleotides) under uncultured bacterium. Its description in RNAcentral is "bacterial SSU rRNA". It matches the Rfam family "Bacterial small subunit ribosomal RNA", at positions 358 to 773 of the family's 1533-position model. The record is from RNAcentral.